UAGGUGUGUCUGAGGUAGGUGAGCUAGCUGUGUCUAAGCUAGUUGAGCUAGGUGUGUCUGAGUUAGGUGUGUCUGAGCUAGGUGUGUCUGAGUUAGGUAUGUCUGAGCUAGGUGAGCUAGGUGUGUCUGAGCUAGGUGAGCUAGGUGUGUCUUAGCUAGGUGAGCUAGGUGUGUCUGUGUUACGUGAGCUAGGUGUGUCUGAGCUAGGUGAGCUAGGUGAGCUAGGUGUGUCUUAGCUAGGUGAGCUAGGUGUGUCUUAGCUAGGUGAGCUAGGUGUGUCUUAGCAAGGUGAGCUAGGUGUGUCUAAGCUAGGUGAGCUAGGGGUGUCUGAG
This 332-nucleotide long non-coding RNA is filed under the name Salmo salar (Atlantic salmon). RNAcentral's name for it is "lncRNA (ENSSSAG00000100015.1)". The record is from RNAcentral. Lineage: Eukaryota; Metazoa; Chordata; Actinopteri; Salmoniformes; Salmonidae.